Molecule: microRNA precursor, 197 nt
Filed under: Oryza sativa Japonica Group (Japanese rice)
Lineage: Eukaryota; Viridiplantae; Streptophyta; Magnoliopsida; Poales; Poaceae
Description: MIR812 microRNA precursor family
Rfam family: MIR812 microRNA precursor family
Source: Rfam by way of RNAcentral
AAUAAGUGCUGUUUUGCACUAUUCACGUUUAACGUUUGACCAUUCGUCUUAUUUGAAAAUUUUUUAUGAUUAGUAUUUUUAUUGCUAUUAGAUGAUAAAACAUGAAUAGUACUUUAUGUGUGACUAAAUAUUUUCAAAUUUUUUAAAUAAGACGGACGGUCAAACGUUGGGCACGGAUAUCCACGACUGCACUUAUU